This 460-nucleotide ribosomal RNA is filed under the name Enterococcus faecium. RNAcentral describes it as "bacterial SSU rRNA". It matches the Rfam family "Bacterial small subunit ribosomal RNA", at positions 1 to 439 of the family's 1533-position model. Lineage: Bacteria; Bacillati; Bacillota; Bacilli; Lactobacillales; Enterococcaceae. The record is from RNAcentral.
UUUUAUGAGAGUUUGAUCCUGGCUCAGGACGAACGCUGGCGGCGUGCCUAAUACAUGCAAGUCGAACGCUUCUUUUUCCAMCGGAGCUUGCUCCACCGGAAAAAGAAGAGUGGCGAACGGGUGAGUAACACGUGGGUAACCUGCCCAUCAGAAGGGGAUAACACUUGGAAACAGGUGCUAAUACCGUAUAACAAUCAAAACCGCAUGGUUUUGAUUUGAAAGGCGCUUUCGGGUGUCGCUGAUGGAUGGACCCGCGGUGCAUUAGCUAGUUGGUGAGGUAACGGCUCACCAAGGCCACGAUGCAUAGCCGACCUGAGAGGGUGAUCGGCCACAUUGGGACUGAGACACGGCCCAAACUCCUACGGGAGGCAGCAGUAGGGAAUCUUCGGCAAGGGACGAAAGUCGGACCGAGCAACGCGGGGUGAGUGAAGAAGGUUUUCGGAUCGUAAAACUCUGUUGU